GCCAAAGAUUGGAAGUCCGCACCCCCCGCCCCCCGCCCCACCAGAACUGCUUGAAGAGAACGGCUUGGAGUUAGAAAGACGCACUGUGCCCAUGGCAGUUCACUGUUACUGUAACCGAUUGUAUGAUUUUGUGAAAUAUUUCUAUAAAUAUUUAAAAGGUGUACACAUAUGUAAUAUACGAAGGAAUGGAUGUAAAGUAGUGUGGUCUGGGGUUUCUCCACUCCUGCCCCAGCGUGGGCAGUGGGGAGGCCACAGCGAGGCCCCUCCCUGUUUGUACAUUGGUCUCUGUGCCACAACCAAGCUUAACUUAGUCUUAAAUUUCAGCAUAUGUUGCUGCUGCUUAAAUAUUGUAUAAUUUACCUGUAUAAUUCUAUGCAAAUAUUGCUUAUGUAAUAGGAUUAUUUUGUAAAGGAUUCUGUUUAAAAUAUUUUAAAUUUGCAUAUCACAACCCUGUGGUAGUAUGAAAUGUUACUGUUAACUUUCAAACACGCUAUGCGUGAUAAUUUUGUUGUUGAUGAGCAGAUAUGAAGAAAGCACGGUAACCCGAUGGCUUCUCCAGGUGUAGUGGGAUGCGGUCCUCCUGUUUGGCUGUGUGAACACGUGUGAUUUCCCAGUGUACUGUACUGUGAUUUUUUUUCUUCUUUCGUUUCUUUUCACUGUCUGUAACCCUUCGUGGGCUCUGCCCUAGUCAGGCUGGAAGUCAGGAUAUCUUGAUUGCCUAGUGCUGGCAGAAGGCAGGCCUAAACAUUCCCUUGUCCUUUGCCAGACCCACUUCAAGUUCAGAGCGGCUCUCAAGAUCGUUGGCUGCCAUCCAGACACCCCAAUUCCUGCCUCAGAGAGAUAAGUUCCUUUGCAUGGUCAUUGUGGUGGACGUGGGCCCCUCAGGCGGUGGGGCUGACAUCUGUUCAUCUUCUUUGGUAUGGAAGAGGUAGAGGACAUGCCUGGCGGUGAGCCUCAGCCGGGCCGGGAGUGGGCGCCCUAAAGGACGCAGGCUUCAGCAUACCUCUCAUGACCAGCACUCACACACACGCACGCACCUCCCAGCGUUCACUCCAACAAAAAAUUGCAGAGUGAAUUGGAAAUCUGGAGACAGUGAGCCUGGUACAGAUAGAAAACCCUAUUAGUUCCGGGCCCACAGUAAACCCAGGGGUGAUGUUGAGUCCCUGCAAUAUGGAAACUCCCUCUCUUCCUAAAUGGCACAGUUGGUUGAGGCUUUGUGGAUCUGUUUGCAUCUUCUUUAAAACAAUAGUGAGCGUCCCAAAUGUGAUAUAGAGCCGGAAGUUAUGUAGGAUACAAGCUUCAGAAGGAUGCUUCUCAGUGUUUUAAUAUUAACGUUAUGGGGGCACACUUCCCAAAUACACUGUCUCCGUCCUCAUCAUUAUUAGUGUUCUUUCCAUGUGACAGUUACUGAAGAUCAGGAAGAUGCUAAUCGCGCACUCCACUGAAGAAGGCACAUGGAGGCAGAUCUCUCGACCAGGCGUUAUUUUUAAAGAUUUCCUUCUUUAUCGAUUCUGUUGUCUUGCUCUGAGGUUUGGUCUUCCUCAGCUUUUAGCCAGAGAUGAGCAAACAUCGGGGACGCACUUGGUACCCAGACUAAACUACUGUAGGAGUGCUCAAAUGGCAGCUCCCAUUAUGGCCUCCUGUUUUACAUGGAAAAUCUUAAUCGAAGGCAGUGGGGCCCCCGGUAGUACCCAGCAGUGUAGUGACCUCAGACCCUAAAACUCGCCACAAAACUGUAAGAUACUAAUUGGAAGCCACCUGUGGCCACCAGCUGUGUGUGUUAAUAUGCCUGCUACUGUCUGGUGCCUGUGUCCGCCACACUGUCUAGCUCACGCCCAGCUCUGCUCAGAACACUCACGUCCCGCGUUCAGGAGAUGAUGCGAACUUCUGAGGUCUGCUUCCCUCUGGCUCACGGCGCGCCCUUGCUUGUUGCCGGAGCCCAGCCUGUGUGGUGCAGGACAGCUUGCACGGCCCCUGUUUUCUGCACAGUGUAGAACUUUCUCAAUAGUCACAUUGGCAAAGGGAGAACCCCAGGGGCUGGCAGGCAACUAGAAUAUCUCUCUCUUUCUUUUUUAAAUAGUUUUAUUUUGUCUGUCUUAUUUGUUUAUUUGGAUGUUUUAAUUUUUUAAAAAAAUCUUCGCUGAUAUUUAUAAUUUUGUAUCAUAAGAAUGUUUUCCUACAGUAUUUGUCAUGCCAGUUUAUAACAAAAAAAUGCAGGGAUUUUAUUUCUAUUGGAAACACUAUUACAGCUAUGUUUUACUUUUGAACAGAAGUUUUAUUUGUAUAGAGUGCUUACUAAUGUUAAAUAGUUCAGAGUAUAUAACGUUUUCAUUAAGGACUCGUGGUAGGUUUUAGUGUAAGUUUAAAGGAAAUAAAUAUUCAAACUGGGUCUCAUUGUCUGCCAAUUUUGGCAGGAAUGGGUUUGUGUCAUUUCAAUUACAAAGAUAAAAGUAUGCCAUAUAAUUUAUUUAUAUGAAAAUUUAUUUUUGUAGUGUACAUAGUAGUCAUCAAGUCUUUUGACAGAAGUAUAUUUUUAAAGAAUUUAUAUGUGGUGAAUCCAUAAUGUCUGGAACUUCGCUGAGACAUGAGUGGGGCACACUUUUCAUUGUAAAGUACAACAAGGAAAGAAAAUGUCUAACAGUGUUAAGAGAGUGAGGUUGAGUGAAUAUUCCUGCAAUUGUGAAAUGUGUAUUAGUUACCAUUUGUGACCUAGUGUGGUUCUCAUUUUAAACUUCAGAAGGCAAAAAUGUACAAACUCUCUAAAUAUUAAUGUUCAAACACUGAUAGAAAUUCUAACAUAAAUAAAAAAUAAUAUAACUUGUUGGUUA
RNAcentral lists this long non-coding RNA (2828 nucleotides) under Equus asinus (donkey). Its description in RNAcentral is "lncRNA (ENSEASG00005031438.1)". Lineage: Eukaryota; Metazoa; Chordata; Mammalia; Perissodactyla; Equidae. The record is from RNAcentral.